RNAcentral lists this unclassified non-coding RNA (238 nucleotides) under uncultured fungus. RNAcentral describes it as "sequence contains ITS2". The stretch from base 1 to 52 matches the Rfam family "5.8S ribosomal RNA", at positions 103 to 154 of the family's 154-position model. Lineage: Eukaryota; Fungi. The record is from RNAcentral.
AACGCACAUUGCGCCCUCUGGUAUUCCGGAGGGCAUGCCUGUUCGAGCGUCAUUACAACCCUCAAGCUCUGCUUGGUAUUGGGCGUCACCAAUUCUGGUGUGCUCUAAAAUCAGUGGCGGUGCCGUCUGGCUCUAAGCGUAGUACAUCUCUCGCUAUAGAUGCCUGGUGGAUGCUUGCCAACAACCCCAAUUUUUUAAGGUUGACCUCGGAUCAGGUAGGGAUACCCGCUGAACUUAA